GAUGAACGCUGGCGGCGUGCCUAAUACAUGCAAGUUGAGCGAACGGACGAGAAGCUUGCUUCUCUGAUGUUAGCGGCGGACGGGUGAGUAACACGUGGAUAACCUACCUAUAAGACUGGGAUAACUUCGGGAAACCGGAGCUAAUACCGGAUAAUAUUUUGAACCGCAUGGUUCAAAAGUGAAAGACGGUCUUGCUGUCACUUAUAGAUGGAUCCGCGCUGCAUUAGCUAGUUGGUAAGGUAACGGCUUACCAAGGCAACGAUGCAUAGCCGACCUGAGAGGGUGAUCGGCCACACUGGAACUGAGACACGGUCCAGACUCCUACGGGAGGCAGCAGUAGGGAAUCUUCCGCAAUGGGCGAAAGCCUGACGGAGCAACGCCGCGUGAGUGAUGAAGGUCUUCGGAUCGUAAAACUCUGUUAUUAGGGAAGAACAUAUGUGUAAGUAACUGUGCAUAUCUUGACGGUACCUAAUCAGAAAGCCACGGCUAACUACGUG
This 497-nucleotide ribosomal RNA is filed under the name uncultured bacterium. Its description in RNAcentral is "partial 16S ribosomal RNA". It matches the Rfam family "Bacterial small subunit ribosomal RNA", at positions 28 to 507 of the family's 1533-position model. The record is from RNAcentral.